GAUGAACGCUGGCGGCGCGCCUAACACAUGCAAGUCGAACGAUUAAAGCACCUUCGGGUGUGUAUAAAGUGGCGAACGGCUGAGUAACACGUGGGCAACCUGCCCCUUUCAUUGGGAUAGCCACGGGAAACCGUGGAUAAUACCGAAUACUUCGAGACUUCCGCAUGGAAGACUCGAGAAAGCUCCGGCGGAGAGGGAUGGGCCCGCGGCCUGUUAGCUUGUUGGUGGGGUAACGGCCUACCAAGGCAAUGAUGGGUAGCUGGGUUGAGAGACCGACCGGCCAGAUUGGGACUGAGACACGGCCCAGACUCCUACGGGAGGCAGCAGUGGGGAAUCUUGCACAAUGGGCGGAAGCCUGAUGCAGCGACGCCGCGUGCGGGAUGAAGGCCUUCGGGUUGUAAACCGCUUUCAGCAGGGACGAGGCGAAAGUGACGGUACCUGCAGAAGAAGCCCCGGCUAACUACGUG
RNAcentral lists this ribosomal RNA (467 nucleotides) under uncultured bacterium. RNAcentral describes it as "partial 16S ribosomal RNA". It matches the Rfam family "Bacterial small subunit ribosomal RNA", at positions 28 to 507 of the family's 1533-position model. The record is from RNAcentral.